CCCUUAAUAUGAUUUUUCGGAAGCUAUACCAAACUCUCUGCAGAAGAACGGAAACAGAGCUUUUAACCAUGCUUUGGUGAAACUCUUAGCAGUUUUUUUCCAGCUCCUCUUUUUUUGUUUUCAAUGAUGAAGAUUUUUCAUCAUUGGUUUGUCCUUGCUGAGUUUUAUGACAUUGACUUAUCGAGCUCCCCUUUCUCUGAGCUCCUCCACAACUUUAUUAUCUUGAGAUACAUAUGUGAUGGGAAAGUUUAAAUUUUUGGGAUUCAAGAUUUUAGAACAUACUCUUUUUAAAGCAACUCCACAACACAAGGAUGUUUCGUCAGUAGCAGUCUCCCCGUUUGAUUCGAUGAUGAUCUGGUCAACAAUUUUCGGUGAAGCCUCAGUAUCAUGACAGGAUCCACCACUAGAUUUCGUUUCUAGCUAUUCAAUUAUAUUGUAUAUCUCUACAUCUGAAAUUGAGGCAUCAUCGUUCAUUAGAUCGUUAUCUUCUUCAUCAACUUUUAAUAUUUUCUCUAAGACGAUGAUUGAACUUGAUGCGAUUGAUGAUUAAUUAUAGACUUCAACUUCUAGUACAUCUCCCUUAAUAGUUUCUUCGAUAAAGUCAGCACUGACAUAUUGAGUUUCAGAUGUUGUCUGCUCAAAAUCUACUUCAAUAUCCUCCAAGUCCAGACUUUUAUUGUUAUUUUCAGGAUUUGCUUCUUUGAUUUCCUUGAUAGCAUCUACCACAUCUCCAGUAUGAAUGUCUUUAGUAUCAUCUUUCUUAUUAUCAGUGCCUUCUUGCUCCACAUAAUGCAUUGUAUUAUAUCCGAACCAAUAUUUUUCCAAAUUUAUGGAAGCCAAGACAUUUAUUGCUCGACUCACAACUUCUAAGAAUCUUUUUCAACCUUCUUCUUCUUCAAUAACUUUUUCAAUAUGAGUCAUGUUACUCUUCGUGGCUUAGUAAUAUUUUCUUAUAUGUCCUGCUUUGUAAUACUCUGAGAAACUUCUUAUUAUAAUUAUUAACAAACUCUUUCUUCUUUCCAGAUGACCUUGAUAAACUUGAGAAUCGAGAGUGAGGCAUAGCUUUAGCUUUUCCUUUAACGUUCCUCUUAUCAGCUACGAGAGUAUUUCCUUUCAUUUCUUUGACAAAUUCACCAGCCAAUUAUUUGGCUAGUAACUUUUGUGACGAAAAUAAAUUUUCAAAUUCCUCUCAGGAUGGAUGUUGAGCCCAUCCCUGAAUUGAUGUCACAAAGGAAAUGUAUUCUGGUUUCAAACCACGAGUAAUGCUUCUUCUCAUUCAUGCUUCAGAGAUAGCCUCAUCCGUAUUCAAUAAAGAUAUUUUAGAACAUAAGUUCUUAAUCUUUAAAAAGUAUCCGGCAAUAGAAAGAUUACCUUGAGUGGUGUUAGCUAAUUUUUUCUCCAAUAACUGUAGCCGAGCUUUAUUCUUCUUGUUGAAUAACUGAUCUAGGGUCCUCCAUAUUUAGACCUUAUAAUAUGAUCAAAUAAACUGGAGGAGAUGACUCUCUUCGAGAUAAACUCCGCCUUCGCAUUAGUCUGCUUUUACUGUUUAUAUGCAACAUCAUUUUUCGAUUUGUCGACAGGAGGACUGUGUUACUUCCGUUAACAAUAUCCCACAAGGCCUCAUCCACAAGAUAUAAUUCUAUAUAUGGUUUUCCUACCUUGUAAUUGGACUGAUUCAGCAACUCCAUUUCCAGUCCAUGAACACAUCCACUUAUAUCUUUUCACAUAAACCGGUUGAAUCGACCACAAACCCGAUCUUGAAAUAAAAAUAAGUCAAUCUACGAUUUUGGCUCGGAUACCACGUAGAGAAUAACAGAUGAAAUGGUGUAUUUGGAGAGACCUUCUUCUAGCUUAAGAUCGUUAACUAAGAUAAAAAAAAUUCAGCUAAGAAGAGCAAGCUAUGAAAGUAGAAGGAAGAUAUUGAAUU
RNAcentral lists this long non-coding RNA (1927 nucleotides) under Capsicum annuum. Its description in RNAcentral is "long non-coding RNA (CANN_LNC002197)". The record is from RNAcentral. Lineage: Eukaryota; Viridiplantae; Streptophyta; Magnoliopsida; Solanales; Solanaceae.